RNAcentral lists this ribosomal RNA (253 nucleotides) under Kofleria sp. RNAcentral's name for it is "partial 16S ribosomal RNA". It matches the Rfam family "Bacterial small subunit ribosomal RNA", at positions 524 to 776 of the family's 1533-position model. Lineage: Bacteria; Pseudomonadati; Myxococcota; Haliangiales; Kofleriaceae. The record is from RNAcentral. RNAcentral also lists the same sequence under 2 other names.
UACGGAGGGUGCAAACGUUGCUCGGAAUCAUUGGGCGUAAAGCGCACGUAGGCGGUCCAGUAAGUCGGGUGUGAAAGCCCUCGGCUCAACCGAGGAAGUGCAUUCGAAACUACUGAACUUGAGUAUGGAAGAGGGUCGCGGAAUUCCCGGUGUAGAGGUGAAAUUCGUAGAUAUCGGGAGGAACACCAGUGGCGAAGGCGGCGACCUGGGCCAAUACUGACGCUGAGGUGCGAAAGCGUGGGGAGCAAACAGG